UACAGAGGUCUCAAGCGUUGUUCGGAUUCAUUGGGCGUAAAGGGUGCGUAGGCGGCGCUGUAAGUCGGGUGUGAAAUUUCGGAGCUUAACUCCGAAACUGCAUUCGAUACUGCGGUGCUUGAGGACUGGAGAGGAGACUGGAAUUCAUGGUGUAGCAGUGAAAUGCGUAGAGAUCAUGAGGAAGACCAGUGGCGAAGGCGGGUCUCUGGACAGUUCCUGACACUGAGGCACGAAGGCCAGGGGAGCAAACGGG
Molecule: ribosomal RNA, 253 nt
Filed under: uncultured bacterium
Lineage: Bacteria
Description: partial 16S ribosomal RNA
Rfam family: Bacterial small subunit ribosomal RNA
Source: RNAcentral